Molecule: transfer RNA, 72 nt
Filed under: Ovis aries (sheep)
Lineage: Eukaryota; Metazoa; Chordata; Mammalia; Artiodactyla; Bovidae
Rfam family: tRNA
About the family: Transfer RNA (tRNA) molecules are approximately 80 nucleotides in length. Their secondary structure includes four short double-helical elements and three loops (D, anti-codon, and T loops). Further hydrogen bonds mediate the characteristic L-shaped molecular structure. tRNAs have two regions of fundamental functional importance: the anti-codon, which is responsible for specific mRNA codon recognition, and the 3' end, to which the tRNAs corresponding amino acid is attached (by aminoacyl-tRNA synthetases). tRNAs cope with the degeneracy of the genetic code in two manners: having more than one tRNA (with a specific anti-codon) for a particular amino acid; and 'wobble' base-pairing, i.e. permitting non-standard base-pairing at the 3rd anti-codon position.
Source: Rfam by way of RNAcentral
UCCCUGGUGGUUCAGAUGGUAAAGCGUCUGUCUACAAUGCAGGAGACCUGGGUUCGAUUCCUGGGUUGGGAA